GAGCUCCUGCCCGUCCCGCCCAAGGUCACGGUGUUCAACGUCCCUGUGACCGCCAGCCAGGGCGCCGCGGACCUCGUCACCAGGUGGCAGCAGGUCGCGCCGGCCCUGCCGGAGGACCUGAUCAUCAGGGUGGUCGUCCAGCAGAAGACGGCCAACUUCCAGUCCCUGUUCCUCGGCACGUGCGACGCGCUGCUGCCGGUGAUGAGCAGCCGCUUCCCGGAGCUGCGGUUCAACCGCUCCGACUGCCGGGAGAUGACCUGGAUCCAGUCCGUGCCCUACAUCUACCUCGGCAGCGCCUCGACCGUGGAGGACCUGCUGAACCGGACCACCGCCGAGUCCGUCUUCAGCAGCGGCUACAAGGCGACGUCCGACUACGUGCGGCAGGCCAUCCCGCGGGACGCGUGGGCCAGCAUCUUCACCAAGCUCGCGCAGCCCAACGCGGGGCUCAUGAUCCUGGACCCCUACGGCGGGCAGAUCGCGGCCGUGCCGGAGGCGGCGACGCCGUACCCGCACCGCGCCGGCGUGCUCUACAACAUCCAGUACAUGAACUUCUGGUCGAUGGCGUCGGGGGACGGGGCCGUGCAGACCAGGUGGAUCAGGGAGUUCUACGCGUUCAUGGCGCCGUUCGUGAGCUCCGGCCCGAGGGAAGCCUACUUCAACUACAGGGACCUGGACCUCGGCGAGAACGUCGUCGUCGGCAACGUCAGCAGCUACCAGGCCGGGAUGGUCUGGGGCCAGAAGUACUUCAAGGGUAACUACCAGAGGCUGGCGAUGGCCAAGGGCCAGAUCGACCCCGACGACUACUUCAGGAACGAGCAGAGCAUCCCGCCAUUUGCCAAUAGCAGGUGA
This 849-nucleotide ribosomal RNA is filed under the name Triticum aestivum (bread wheat). RNAcentral describes it as "partial small subunit ribosomal RNA". Lineage: Eukaryota; Viridiplantae; Streptophyta; Magnoliopsida; Poales; Poaceae. The record is from RNAcentral.